GUGGAUUAGAUACCCUAGUAGUCCACGCCGUAAACGAUGGGCACUAGGUGUGGGGGGUGUCGACUCCCUCCGUGCCGAAGCUAACGCAUUAAGUGCCCCGCCUGGGGAGUACGGCCGCAAGGCUAAAACUCAAAGGAAUUGACGGGGGCCCGCACAAGCAGCGGAGCAUGUGGUUUAAUUCGACGCAACGCGAAGAACCUUACCUGGGCUUGACAUGUGCCUGACAGCUCUGGAAACAGAGUCUCCCUUCGGGGCAGGUACACAGGUGGUGCAUGGUUGUCGACAGCU
This 288-nucleotide ribosomal RNA is filed under the name uncultured bacterium. RNAcentral describes it as "partial 16S ribosomal RNA". It matches the Rfam family "Bacterial small subunit ribosomal RNA", at positions 773 to 1060 of the family's 1533-position model. The record is from RNAcentral.